This 435-nucleotide ribosomal RNA is filed under the name uncultured Nitratiruptor sp. RNAcentral's name for it is "bacterial SSU rRNA". It matches the Rfam family "Bacterial small subunit ribosomal RNA", at positions 941 to 1382 of the family's 1533-position model. Lineage: Bacteria; Pseudomonadati; Campylobacterota; Epsilonproteobacteria; Nautiliales; Nitratiruptoraceae. The record is from RNAcentral.
GUAGUCUAAUUCGAAGCAAACGCGAAGACCUUACCAGGUCUUGACAUCCCGAUGCUAUUCUAGAGAUAGAAGUUACUUCGGUACAUCGGUGACAGGUGGUGCAUGGUUGUCGUCAGCUCGUGUCGUGAGAUGUUGGGUUAAGUCCCGCAACGAGCGCAACCCCUAUUGUUAGUUGCCAGCGGUUCGGCCGGGCACUCUAACGAACUGCCCGCGCAAGCGGGAGGAAGUGGGACGACGUCAAGUCAUCAUGGCCCUUAUGCCUGGGCGACACACGUGCUACAAUGGAUAGGACAGAAAGACGCAAGACCGCGAGGUGGAGCAAAUCUUUAAACCUAUUCUCAGUUCGGAUUGGAGUCUGCAACUCGACUCCAUGAAGCUGGAAUCGCUAGUAAUCGCGGAUCAGCCAUGCCGCGGUCGAAUACGUUCCCGGGCCUU